GGGCUAGCUCAGUCAGUAGAGCAUAGCGCUAGCAACUCUAAGGUCGCGGGUUCGAUUCCCGUUCGGUCCC
Non-coding RNA from Apaloderma vittatum (bar-tailed trogon), 70 nucleotides. The record is from Rfam. NCBI's taxonomy places the organism in Eukaryota, Metazoa, Chordata, Aves, Trogoniformes, Trogonidae.